GACGAACGCUGGCGGCGUGCUUAACACAUGCCAGUCGAACGGAAAGGCCCUGCUUUUGUGGGGUGCUCGAGUGGCGAACGGGUGAGUAACACGUGAGUAACCUGCCCUUGACUUUGGGAUAACUUCAGGAAACUGGGGCUAAUACCGGAUAGGGGCUCCUGCUGCAUGGUGGGGGUUGGAAAGUUUCGGCGGUUGGGGAUGGACUCGCGGCUUAUCAGCUUGUUGGUGGGGUAGUGGCUUACCAAGGCUUUGACGGGUAGCCGGCCUGAGAGGGUGACCGGCCACAUUGGGACUGAGAUACGGCCCAGACUCCUACGGGAGGCAGCAGUGAGGAAUAUUGCACAAUGGGCGGAAGCCUGAUGCAGCAACGCCGCGUGCGGGAUGACGGCCUUCGGGUUGUAAACCGCUUUCGCCUGUGACGAAGCGUGAGUGACGGUAAUGGGUAAAGAAGCACCGGCUAACUACGUGCCAGCAGCCGCGGUGAUACGUAGGGUGCGAGCGUUGUCCGGAUUUAUUGGGCGUAAAGGGCUCGUAGGUGGUUGAUCGCGUCGGAAGUGUAAUCUUGGGGCUUAACCCUGAGCGUGCUUUCGAUACGGGUUGACUUGAGGAAGGUAGGGGAGAAUGGAAUUCCUGGUGGAGCGGUGGAAUGCGCAGAUAUCAGGGGGAACACCAGUGGCGAAGGCGGUUCUCUGGGCCUUUCCUGACGCUGAGGAGCGAAAGCGUGGGGAGCGAACAGGCUUAGAUACCCUGGUAGUCCACGCUGUAAACGGUGGGUACUAGGUGUGGGGUCCAUUCCACGGGUUCCGUGCCGUAGCUAACGCUUUAAGUACCCCGCCUGGGGAGUACGGCCGCAAGGCUAAAACUCAAAGGAAUUGACGGGGCCCCGCACAAGCGGCGGAGCAUGCGGAUUAAUUCGAUGCAACGCGUAGAACCUUACCUGGGUUUGACAUGGAUCGGGAGUGCUCAGAGAUGGGUGUGCCUCUUUUGGGGUCGGUUCACAGGUGGUGCAUGCCUGUCGUCAGCUCGUGUCGUGAGAUGUUGGGUUAAGUCCCGCAACGAGCGCAACCCUUGUUCACUGUUGCCAGCACGUUAUGGUGGGGACUCAGUGGAGACCGCCGGGGUCAACUCGGAGGAAGGUGGGGAUGACGUCAAGUCAUCAUGCCCCUUAUGUCCAGGGCUUCACGCAUGCUACAAUGGCUGGUACAGAGAGUGGCGAGCCUGUGAGGGUGAGCGAAUCUCGGAAAGCCGGUCUCAGUUCGGAUUGGGGUCUGCAACUCGACCUCAUGAAGUCGGAGUCGCUAGUAAUCGCAGAUCAGCAACGCUGCGGUGAAUACGUUCCCGGG
Molecule: ribosomal RNA, 1343 nt
Filed under: uncultured bacterium
Lineage: Bacteria
Description: 16S ribosomal RNA
Rfam family: Bacterial small subunit ribosomal RNA
Source: RNAcentral